GUAAGCUAAAAGAGAACAGCCACGACAGAGGAUACAGUGAAGAUUCAAAAAACGGUGGUGAAUAUUGAAAAGGCGUUGGAGGACACAUAAUAGAAUGCAAAGUCCACAAGGAGAGGGGCUUUGUGUCUUGUUUCACACUGUGUCCCCAGGCUUAGAAUAUUCUGGCAUCAGAAGGCACUCAGUAAACAUAGAGAGGAAGAAAGGAAGAAGAUGAAAUCAGGAGUACAGAUUAAAGUGUUAUCUUUGGAAGACAGGCAAGACAUCCUUUGGGACAGAAGGGAAGGAGAGAAAGCUGGGGAACAUGCAGAUAAUACAAGAGGUGCGGUUUGUGACUGAUGGCUGCUAUUUUCUCUGUGAGGUAGGAGGCUUGGCCAUCUGUUAAAAUGAGUGGACUGAAUCCAGACAACUUUGGACAUUCCUUCAUUUGAAGAAUUUUUACUGAACAAUUACAGACCAUUGAUUGAUACAGUGAAGAUCAGAAUGGCAUAGUUUUCCUGUCUUCAUGGAGAUGAAUGAAUGAACUGUAUUUUUUAUUAGCCUAAGCAUGAAUUCUUCCCAAAUUUCCUCCAUGAACCAUAGGAUCCUACCUCUUAACCAUUUUAUGAAAAUUCUAUGGUGAAUUGAGGUCCUCAAGUUGUCUGACAAUAUCUGAUUUUGCCACGGUCAUGUGGGAAAAGUAGGCAUGUGAGCAAGUCAUAGUUUUACUUGUUUGGAAGAUUCUUCUAAUUAUGUCAAGAUGAAAGGUUUUAUACUGUGUAGAAGGCAGUGUGAGAGAAGUGGACAGUAGAACUCCUAUUUGGUGGGCCAGUGGCUAUAUUUUAAAAUAUGAAGGAUACAUAUUUGACUGUUUAAGUACAAUGAUCUGCCAUGGAUCUAUACUUUUGGGCUGCUGUCUUUUAGGCUAAAGCAAUUAAAGGCAAUGUAAUGAACAUGGUUAUCUGUGGAUGCCCCUUUGAUUGCCAUUGUAUUAUGCUUUACACUGUGAUGGCUCUCUCUUUGAGGAGAGACGCUGUUCCUCCAGGGAGAUAAAAUAUAAAAUAUGAAUCUUACCCUUAAGCAUACACUUCUCCCCACUCUCAAUAUACAGUGGCUCUGGAAUUCAUGCUUCACUUGGGAGUUGAAAGUUUGCGUUUAUAAUUUUAUAUUCUUAUUACAGGCCAGGCUAUUGAGAUUAGAAAGUCUUUAUUUUUCAGUUGGAGUGUGAUGAGCCAUAUUCCCUAUUGUAAACAGCCAUAUUAACCAAGAUAAUUUAAUUUGGAAUGAUUGCUUUUUGCCUUUGAGCUGUAGAUCAAAAGGUUCCAUUAUAUGUACAAAUAAAGUAAAAAAAAAUUUUUUCUGUGAAUGUUACAAAAUUUUUUUAUUGUGGUAAAAAACACGUAAGAUCUUUCCUCUUAAAUU
RNAcentral lists this long non-coding RNA (1398 nucleotides) under Homo sapiens (human). Its description in RNAcentral is "HSALNT0402915". Lineage: Eukaryota; Metazoa; Chordata; Mammalia; Primates; Hominidae. The record is from RNAcentral.